RNAcentral lists this ribosomal RNA (245 nucleotides) under uncultured bacterium. Its description in RNAcentral is "partial 16S ribosomal RNA". It matches the Rfam family "Bacterial small subunit ribosomal RNA", at positions 524 to 768 of the family's 1533-position model. The record is from RNAcentral.
UACGUAGGAGACGAGCGUUGUCCGGAGUUACUGGGCGUAAAGGGUGCGCAGGCGGCCUAGCGCGUCGCGGGUGAAAUCUCCCGGCUCAACUGGGAGGGCGGUCGCGAGACGGCUGGGCUUGAGGCUCGGAGAGGGGCGUGGAAUUCCGGGUGGAGCGGUGAAAUGCGUAGAGGUCCGGAGGAACACCGACGGCGUAGGCAGCGCCCUGGACGAGACCUGACGCUCAGGCACGAAAGCCCGGGGAG